CGGUCAGACAAAUCAGACCGGGAGCUGCGAACCUUUUGUUUGGGCACUGUUGCCAAGCUACAGCACAUAUUUGGAUUCUGUGGCCCAGGCAACGGGGAUAGAUGAGUUUGUCGCUCCCUAAUGUGUGGCUCCGGGUCGCAAGGGACCGGAGCCUAUCCCAGCUACCACAGGGAAAGAGGUGGGGUACAGCCUGGACAGGUCGCCAGCCUUUCACAGGUCUAACACACAGAGACGGAUAACUAUUCACAUCUAUGGGCGAUUUGCAAUCACCAGUUAACCUCACUAAUUCCACAUCAUCGGACUGUGUGGGGAAACCAGAGUACUCGGAGAGAGGCAUGCAAACACAGGGAGAACAUGCAAACUCCACACAGAAAGGCCCCAGCCAGAUGGUGGAUUCAAACCCAGGACUUUAACAGUGCACCACCAUGCUGCCUACAAGAAAUCACAUUUACAGUAACUGUCUUUUUUAAAAAACCUUAUAUUUAGCUGCCCUGUUUUUUUUUUUUUUGUUUGUUUUAAAUAGAUAAAUACAAAGUCUGAAUCAUGUAGUAAAAUUAAAUACAACUAACACAAGUUUCAACUGGUCACACGGGGAUUCAUUCUGACAGAGAUACACAAGCACGCAUUAAAAACGCAAUGAUGUAUUUAAUAUAUAGAUCUAUCUGUGCAGCCAUUAGAGUACAUGUCAGCCAAGCAGCUACACUAACCUUGGGCACAAUAAGUAGAAAUACAUAUAUAGUGGAUAUACACACACACACACACACACACACACACACACACACACACACA
Molecule: long non-coding RNA, 789 nt
Organism: Oreochromis aureus
Lineage: Eukaryota; Metazoa; Chordata; Actinopteri; Cichliformes; Cichlidae
Exons: 2
Source: RefSeq, a predicted model, not a curated record